UACGGAGAGCGCGAGCAUUAAUCGGAAUUAUUGGGCGUAAAGGGCGCGUAGGCGGGGAGGCAAGUCAGAUGUGAAAUUCCGAAGCUCAACUUCGGAGCUGCAUUUGAAACUGCCAUUCUAGAGGGUUGACGGAGAAAACGGAAUUCCACGUGUAGCGGUGAAAUGCGUAGAUAUGUGGAAGAACACCUGUGGCGAAAGCGGUUUUCUAGUUAAUACCUGACGCUGAGGCGCGAGAGCAAGGGGAGCAAACAGG
RNAcentral lists this ribosomal RNA (253 nucleotides) under uncultured prokaryote. RNAcentral's name for it is "partial 16S ribosomal RNA". It matches the Rfam family "Bacterial small subunit ribosomal RNA", at positions 524 to 776 of the family's 1533-position model. The record is from RNAcentral.